RNAcentral lists this long non-coding RNA (10010 nucleotides) under Sorghum bicolor (sorghum). Its description in RNAcentral is "long non-coding RNA (SBIC_LNC015499)". The record is from RNAcentral. Lineage: Eukaryota; Viridiplantae; Streptophyta; Magnoliopsida; Poales; Poaceae.
CAUAGCUCCUUCGACGGCGCCGCCUAGGAACGCGGAGAAAAUAUGACAAAGGAACGGCCAAAAAUAAAAAGAAAGACCUUUCUUUUGAAAAAACAAACAAAUAAAAGGAAUGCAACACGAGGAGUUCCCAGGAGGUCACCCAUCCUAGUACUACUCUCGCCCAAGCACGCUUAACUUCGGAGUUCUGAUGGGAUCCGGUGCUUUAGUGCUGGUAUGAUCGCAUCCGACAUACCGUGCGUUCUCCUCCCCUUUAUGCCCGCGCCUCCGUGUACGGCCCGCCCAUAGCUCCUUCGACGGCGCCGCCUAGGAACGCGGAGAAAAUAUGACAAAGGAACGGCCAAAAAUAAAAAGAAAGACCUUUCUUUUGAAAAAACAAACAAAAAAAAGAAAUGCAACACGAGGACUUCCCAGGAGGUCACCCAUCCUAGUACUACUCUCGCCCAAGCACGCUUAACUUCGGAGUUCUGAUGGGAUCCGGUGCUUUAGUGCUGGUAUGAUCGCAUCCGACAUACCGUGCGUUCUCCUCCCCUUUAUGCCCGCGCCUCCGUGUACGGCCCGCCCAUAGCUCCUUCGACGGCGCCGCCUAGGAACGCGGAGAAAAUAUGACAAAGGAACGGCCAAAAAUAAAAAGAAAGACCUUUCUUUGAAAAAACAAACAAUUCACAGGAAUGCAACACGAGGACUUCCCACGAGGUCACCCAUCCUAGUACUACUCUCGCCCAAGCACGCUUAACUUCGGAGUUCUGAUGGGAUCCGGUGCUUUAGUGCUGGUAUGAUCGCAUCCGACAUACCGUGCGUUCUCCUCCCCUUUAUGCCCGCGCCUCCGUGUACGGCCCGCCCAUAGCUCCUUCGACGGCGCCGCCUAGGAACGCGGAGAAAAUAUGACAAAGGAACGGCCAAAAAUAAAAAGAAAGACCUUUCUUUUGAAAAAACAAACCAAAAAAAAGGAAUGCAACACGAGGACUUCCCAAGAGGUCACCCAUCCUAGUACUACUCUCGCCCAAGCACGCUUAACUUCGGAGUUCUGAUGGGAUCCGGUGCUUUAGUGCUGGUAUGAUCGCAUCCGACAUACCGUGCGUUCUCCUCCCCAUUAUGCCCGCGCCUCCGUGUACGGCCCGCCCAUAGCUCCUUUGACGGCGCCGCUUAGGAACGCGGAGAAAAUAUGACAAAGGAACGGCCAAAAAUAAAAAGAAAGACCUUUCUUUUGAAAAAACAAACAAAUAAAAGGAAUGCAACACGAGGACUUCCCAGGAGGUCACCCAUCCUAGUACUACUCUCGCCCAAGCACGCUUAACUUCGGAGUUCUGAUGGGAUCCGGUGCUUUAGUGCUGGUAUGAUCGCAUCCGACAUACCGUGCGUUCUCCUCCCCUUUAUGCCCGCGCCUCCGUGUACGGCCCGCCCAUAGCUCCUUCGACGGCGCCGCCUAGGAACGCGGAGAAAAUAUGACAAAGGAACGGCCAAAAACAAAAAGAAAGACCUUUCUUUUGAAAAAACAAACAAAAAAAAGGAAUGCAACACGAGGACUUCCCAGGAGGUCACCCAUCCUAGUACUACUCUCGCCCAAGCACGCUUAACUUCGGAGUUCUGAUGGGAUCCGGUGCUUUAGUGCUGGUAUGAUCGCAUCCGACAUACCGUGCGUUCUCCUCCCCUUUAUGCCCGCGCCUCCGUGUACGGCCCGCCCAUAGCUCCUUCGACGGCGCCGCCUAGGAACGCGGAGAAAAUAUGACAAAGGAACGGCCAAAAAUAAAAAGAAAGACCUUUCUUUUGAAAAAACAAACAAAUAAAAGGAAUGCAACACGAGGACUUCCCAGGAGGUCACCCAUCCUAGUACUACUCUCGCCCAAGCACGCUUAACUUCGGAGUUCUGAUGGGAUCCGGUGCUUUAGUGCUGGUAUGAUCGCAUCCGACAUACCGUGCGUUCUCCUCCCCUUUAUGCCCGCGCCUCCGUGUACGGCCCGCCCAUAGCUCCUUCGACGGCGCCGCCUAGGAACGCGGAGAAAAUAUGACAAAGGAACGGCCAAAAAUAAAAAGAAAGACCUUUCUUUUGAAAAAACAAACAAAUAAAAGGAAUGCAACACGAGGACUUCCCAGGAGAUCACCCAUCCUAGUACUACUCUCGCCCAAGCACGCUUAACUUCGGAGUUCUGAUGGGAUCCGGUGCUUUAGUGCUGGUAUGAUCGCAUCCGACAUACCGUGCGUUCUCCUCCCCUUUAUGCCCGCGCCUCCGUGUACGGCCCGCCCAUAGCUCCUUCGACGGCGCCGCCUAGGAACGCGGAGAAAAUAUGACAAAGGAACGGCCAAAAAUAAAAAGAAAGACCUUUCUUUUGAAAAAACAAACAAAAAAAAGGAAUGCAACACGAGGACUUCCCACGAGGUCACCCAUCCUAGUACUACUCUAGUACCAAGCACGCUUAACUUCGGAGUUCUGAUGGGAUCCGGUGCUUUAGUGCUGGUAUGAUCGCAUCCGACAUACCGUGCGUUCUCCUCCCCUUUAUGCCCGCGCCUCCGUGUACGGCCCGCCCAUAGCUCCUUCGACGGCGCCGCCUAGGAACGCGGAGAAAAUAUGACAAAGGAACGGCCAAAAAUAAAAAGAAAGACCUUUCUUUUGAAAAAACAAACAAAAAAAAGGAAUGCAACACGAGGACUUCCCAGGAGGUCACCCAUCCUAGUACUACUCUCGCCCAAGCACGCUUAACUUCGGAGUUCUGAUGGGAUCCGGUGCUUUAGUGCUGGUAUGAUCGCAUCCGACAUACCGUGCGUUCUCCUCCCCUUUAUGCCCGCGCCUCCGUGUACGGCCCGCCCAUAGCUCCUUCGACGGCGCCGCCUAGGAACGCGGAGAAAAUAUGACAAAGGAACGGCCAAAAAUAAAAAGAAAGACCUUUCUUUUGAAAAAACAAACAAAUAAAAGGAAUGCAACACGAGGACUUCCCAGGAGGUCACCCAUCCUAGUACUACUCUCGCCCAAGCACGCUUAACUUCGGAGUUCUGAUGGGAUCCGGUGCUUUAGUGCUGGUAUGAUCGCAUCCGACAUACCGUGCGUUCUCCUCCCCUUUAUGCCCGCGCCUCCGUGUACGGCCCGCCCAUAGCUCCUUCGACGGCGCCGCCUAGGAACGCGGAGAAAAUAUGACAAAGGAACGGCCAAAAAUAAAAAGAAAGACCUUUCUUUUGAAAAAACAAACAAAAAAAAGGAAUGCAACACGAGGACUUCCCAGGAGGUCACCCAUCCUAGUACUACUCUCGCCCAAGCACGCUUAACUUCGGAGUUCUGAUGGGAUCCGGUGCUUUAGUGCUGGUAUGAUCGCAUCCGACAUACCGUGCGUUCUCCUCCCCUUUAUGCCCGCGCCUCCGUGUACGGCCCGCCCAUAGCUCCUUCGACGGCGCCGCCUAGGAACGCGGAGAAAAUAUGACAAAGGAACGGCCAAAAAUAAAAAGAAAGACCUUUCUUUUGAAAAAACAAACAAAAAAAAGGAAUGCAACACGAGGACUUCCCAGGAGGUCACCCAUCCUAGUACUACUCUCGCCCAAGCACGCUUAACUUCGGAGUUCUGAUGGGAUCCGGUGCUUUAGUGCUGGUAUGAUCGCAUCCGACAUACCGUGCGUUCUCCUCCCCUUUAUGCCCGCGCCUCCGUGUACGGCCCGCCCAUAGCUCCUUCGACGGCGCCGCCUAGGAACGCGGAGAAAAUAUGACAAAGGAACGGCCAAAAAUAAAAAGAAAGACCUUUCUUUUGAAAAAACAAACAAAUAAAAGGAAUGCAACACAAGGACUUCCCAGGAGGUCACCCAUCCUAGUACUACUCUCGCCCAAGCACGCUUAACUUCGGAGUUCUGAUGGGAUCCGGUGCUUUAGUGCUGGUAUGAUCGCAUCCGACAUACCGUGCGUUCUCCUCCCCUUUAUGCCCGCGCCUCCGUGUACGGCCCGCCCAUAGCUCCUUCGACGGCGCCGCCUAGGAACGCGGAGAAAAUAUGACAAAGGAACGGCCAAAAAUAAAAAGAAAGACCUUUCUUUUGAAAAAACAAACGCCUCCGUGUACGGCCCGCCCAUAGCUCCUUCGACGGCGCCGCCUAGGAACGCGGAGAAAAUAUGACAAAGGAACGGCCAAAAAUAAAAAGAAAGACCUUUCUUUUGAAAAAACAAACAAAAAAAAGGAAUGCAACACGAGGACUUCCCAGGAGGUCACCCAUCCUAGUACUACUCUCGCCCAAGCACGCUUAACUUCGGAGUUCUGAUGGGAUCCGGUGCUUUAGUGCUGGUAUGAUCGCAUCCGACAUACCGUGCGUUCUCCUCCCCUUUAUGCCCGCGCCUCCGUGUACGGCCCGCCCAUAGCUCCUUCGACGGCGCCGCCUAGGAACGCGGAGAAAAUAUGACAAAGGAACGGCCAAAAAUAAAAAGAAAGACCUUUCUUUUGAAAAAACAAACGCCUCCGUGUACGGCCCGCCCAUAGCUCCUUCGACGGCGCCGCCUAGGAACGCGGAGAAAAUAUGACAAAGGAACGGCCAAAAAUAAAAAGAAAGACCUUUCUUUUGAAAAAACAAACAAAAAAAAGGAAUGCAACACGAGGACUUCCCAGGAGGUCACCCAUCCUAGUACUACUCUCGCCCAAGCACGCUUAACUUCGGAGUUCUGAUGGGAUCCGGUGCUUUAGUGCUGGUAUGAUCGCAUCCGACAUACCGUGCGUUCUCCUCCCCUUUAUGCCCGCGCCUCCGUGUACGGCCCGCCCAUAGCUCCUUCGACGGCGCCGCCUAGGAACGCGGAGAAAAUAUGACAAAGGAACGGCCAAAAAUAAAAAGAAAGACCUUUCUUUUGAAAAAACAAACAAAUAAAAGGAAUGCAACACGAGGACUUCCCAGGAGGUCACCCAUCCUAGUACUACUCUCGCCCAAGCACGCUUAACUUCGGAGUUCUGAUGGGAUCCGGUGCUUUAGUGCUGGUAUGAUCGCAUCCGACAUACCGUGCGUUCUCCUCCCCUUUAUGCCCGCGCCUCCGUGUACGGCCCGCCCAUAGCUCCUUCGACGGCGCCGCCUAGGAACGCGGAGAAAAUAUGACAAAGGAACGGCCAAAAAUAAAAAGAAAGACCUUUCUUUUGAAAAAACAAACAAAAAAAAAGGAAUGCAACACGAGGACUUCCCAGGAGGUCACCCAUCCUAGUACUACUCUCGCCCAAGCACGCUUAACUUCGGAGUUCUGAUGGGAUCCGGUGCUUUAGUGCUGGUAUGAUCGCAUCCGACAUACCGUGCGUUCUCCUCCCCUUUAUGCCCGCGCCUCCGUGUACGGCCCGCCCAUAGCUCCUUCGACGGCGCCGCCUAGGAACGCGGAGAAAAUAUGACAAAGGAACGGCCAAAAAUAAAAAGAAAGACCUUUCUUUUGAAAAAACAAACAAAAAAAAGGAAUGCAACACGAGGACUUCCCAGGAGGUCACCCAUCCUAGUACUACUCUCGCCCAAGCACGCUUAACUUCGGAGUUCUGAUGGGAUCCGGUGCUUUAGUGCUGGUAUGAUCGCAUCCGACAUACCGUGCGUUCUCCUCCCCUUUAUGCCCGCGCCUCCGUGUACGGCCCGCCCAUAGCUCCUUCGACGGCGCCGCCUAGGAACGCGGAGAAAAUAUGACAAAGGAACGGCCAAAAAUAAAAAGAAAGACCUUUCUUUUGAAAAAACAAACAAAAAAAAGGAAUGCAACACGAGGACUUCCCAGGAGGUCACCCAUCCUAGUACUACUCUCGCCCAAGCACGCUUAACUUCGGAGUUCUGAUGGGAUCCGGUGCUCUAGUGCUGGUAUGAUCGCAUCCGACAUACCGUGCGUUCUCCUCCCCUUUAUGCCCGCGCCUCCGUGUACGGCCCGCCCAUAGCUCCUUCGACGGCGCCGCCUAGGAACGCGGAGAAAAUAUGACAAAGGAACGGCCAAAAAUAAAAAGAAAGACCUUUCUUUUGAAAAAACAAACAAAAAAAAAGGAAUGCAACACGAGGACUUCCCAGGAGGUCACCCAUCCUAGUACUACUCUCGCCCAAGCACGCUUAACUUCGGAGUUCUGAUGGGAUCCGGUGCUUUAGUGCUGGUAUGAUCGCAUCCGACAUACCGUGCGUUCUCCUCCCCUUUAUGCCCGCGCCUCCGUGUACGGCCCGCCCAUAGCUCCUUCGACGGCGCCGCCUAGGAACGCGGAGAAAAUAUGACAAAGGAACGGCCAAAAAUAAAAAGAAAGACCUUUCUUUUGAAAAAACAAACAAAUAAAAGGAAUGCAACACGAGGACUUCCUAGGAGGUCACCCAUCCUAGUACUACUCUCGCCCAAGCACGCUUAACUUCGGAGUUCUAAUGGGAUCCGGUGCUUUAGUGCUGGUAUGAUCGCAUCCGACAUACCGUGCGUUCUCCUCCCCUUUAUGCCCGCGCCUCCGUGUACGGCCCGCCCAUAGCUCCUUCGACGGCGCCGCCUAGGAACGCGGAGAAAAUAUGACAAAGGAACGGCCAAAAAUAAAAAGAAAGACCUUUCUUUUGAAAAAACAAACAAAAAAAAGGAAUGCAACACGAGGACUUCCCAGGAGGUCACCCAUCCUAGUACUACUCUCGCCCAAGCACGCUUAACUUCGGAGUUCUGAUGGGAUCCGGUGCUUUAGUGCUGGUAUGAUCGCAUCCGACAUACCGUGCGUUCUCCUCCCCUUUAUGCCCGCGCCUCCGUGUACGGCCCGCCCAUAGCUCCUUCGACGGCGCCGCCUAGGAACGCGGAGAAAAUAUGACAAAGGAACGGCCAAAAAUAAAAAGAAAGACCUUUCUUUUGAAAAAACAAACAAAAAAAAGGAAUGCAACACGAGGACUUCCCAGGAGGUCACCCAUCCUAGUACUACUCUCGCCCAAGCACGCUUAACUUCGGAGUUCUGAUGGGAUCCGGUGCUUUAGUGCUGGUAUGAUCGCAUCCGACAUACCGUGCGUUCUCCUCCCCUUUAUGCCCGCGCCUCCGUGUACGGCCCGCCCAUAGCUCCUUCGACGGCGCCGCCUAGGAACGCGGAGAAAAUAUGACAAAGGAACGGCCAAAAAUAAAAAGAAAGACCUUUCUUUUGAAAAAACAAACAAAAAAAAGGAAUGCAACACGAGGACUUCCCAGGAGGUCACCCAUCCUAGUACUACUCUCGCCCAAGCACGCUUAACUUCGGAGUUCUGAUGGGAUCCGGUGCUUUAGUGCUGGUAUGAUCGAAUCCGACAUACCGUGCGUUCUCCUCCCCUUUAUGCCCGCGCCUCCGUGUACGGUCCGCCCAUAGCUCCUUCGACGGCGCCGCCUAGGAACGCGGAGAAAAUAUGACAAAGGAACGGCCAAAAAUAAAAAGAAAGACCUUUCUUUUGAAAAAACAAACAAAUAAAAGGAAUGCAACACGAGGACUUCCCAGGAGGUCACCCAUCCUAGUACUACUCUCGCCCAAGCACGCUUAACUUCGGAGUUCUGAUGGGAUCCGGUGCUUUAGUGCUGGUAUGAUCGCAUCCGACAUACCGUGCGUUCUCCUCCCCUUUAUGCCCGCGCCUCCGUGUACGGCCCGCCCAUAGCUCCUUCGACGGCGCCGCCUAGGAACGCGGAGAAAAUAUGACAAAGGAACGGCCAAAAAUAAAAAGAAAGACCUUUCUUUUGAAAAAACAAACAAAUAAAAGGAAUGCAACACGAGGACUUCCCAGGAGGUCACCCAUCCUAGUACUACUCUCGCCCAAGCACGCUUAACUUCGGAGUUCUGAUGGGAUCCGGUGCUUUAGUGCUGGUAUGAUCGCAUCCGACAUACCGUGCGUUCUCCUCCCCUUUAUGCCCGCGCCUCCGUGUACGGCCCGCCCAUAGCUCCUUCGACGGCGCCGCCUAGGAACGCGGAGAAAAUAUGACAAAGGAACGGCCAAAAAUAAAAAGAAAGACCUUUCUUUUGAAAAAACAAACAAAAAAAAGGAAUGCAGCACCAGGACUUCCCGGAAGGUCACCCAUCCAAAUACAACUCUCGCCGAACCACGUUUAACUUCGAAUUUCUAAUGGAAUCCGGGGCUUUAGAGCUGGAAUGAUCGCAUCCGACAUACCGUGCGUUCUCCUCCCCUUUAUGCCCGCGCCUCCGUGUACGGCCCGCCCAUAGCUCCUUCGACGGCGCCGCCUAGGAACGCGGAGAAAAUAUGACAAAGGAGCGGCCAAAAAUAAAAAGAAAGACCUUUCUUUUGAAAAAACAAACAAAUAAAAGGAAUGCAACACGAGGACUUCCUAGGAGGUCACCCAUCCUAGUACUACUCUCGCCCAAGCACGCUUAACUUCGGAGUUCUGAUGGGAUCCGGUGCUUUAGUGCUGGUAUGAUCGCAUCCGACAUACCGUGCGUUCUCCUCCCCUUUAUGCCCGCGCCUCCGUGUACGGCCCGCCCAUAGCUCCUUCGACGGCGCCGCCUAGGAACGCGGAGAAAAUAUGACAAAGGAACGGCCAAAAAUAAAAAGAAAGACCUUUCUUUUGAAAAAACAAACGCCUCCGUGUACGGCCCGCCCAUAGCUCCUUCGACGGCGCCGCCUAGGAACGCGGAGAAAAUAUGACAAAGGAACGGCCAAAAAUAAAAAGAAAGACCUUUCUUUUGAAAAAACAAACAAAAAAAAGGAAUGCAACACGAGGACUUCCCAGGAGGUCACCCAUCCUAGUACUACUCUCGCCCAAGCACGCUUAACUUCGGAGUUCUGAUGGGAUCCGGUGCUUUAGUGCUGGUAUGAUCGCAUCCGACAUACCGUGCGUUCUCCUCCCCUUUAUGCCCGCGCCUCCGUGUACGGCCCGCCCAUAGCUCCUUCGACGGCGCCGCCUAGGAACGCGGAGAAAAUAUGACAAAGGAACGGCCAAAAAUAAAAAGAAAGACCUUUCUUUUGAAAAAACAAACAAAUAAAAGGAAUGCAACACGAGGACUUCCCAGGAGGUCACCCAUCCUAGUACUACUCUCGCCCAAGCACGCUUAACUUCGGAGUUCUGAUGGGAUCCGGUGCUUUAGUGCUGGUAUGAUCGCAUUCGACAUACCGAUGCGUUCUCAUCCCCGUUAUGCGCCGCGCCUCUGUGUACGGCCCGCCCAUAGCUCCUUUGACUGCGCCUCGUAGGAUCGCGGAGAAUAUAUGACAAAGGCACGGCCAAACAUAAAACGAAAGACCUCUCUUUUGCAACAACAAACAAAAUAAAGGAAUGCAACACGAGGACUUCCCAGGAGGUCACCCAUCCUAGUACUAGUCUCGCUCAAGCACGCUGAUCUUCGGAGUUCUGAUGGGAUCCGGUGCUUUAGUGCUGGUAUGAUCGCAUCCGACAUACCGUGCGUUCUCCUCCCCUUUAUGCCCGCGCCUCCGUGUACGGCCCGCCCAUAGCUCCUUCGACGGCGCCGCCUAGGAACGCGGAGAAAAUAUGACAAAGGAACGGCCAAAAAUAAAAAGAAAGACCUUUCUUUUGAAAAAACAAACAAAAAAAAGGAAUGCAACACGAGGACUUCCCAGGAGGUCACCCAUCCUAGUACUACUCUCGCCCAAGCACGCUUAACUUCGGAGUUCUGAUGGGAUCCGGUGCUUUAGUGCUGGUAUGAUCGCAUCCGACAUACCGUGCGUUCUCCUCCCCUUUAUGCCCGCGCCUCCGUGUACGGCCCGCCCAUAGCUCCUUCGACGGCGCCGCCUAGGAACGCGGAGAAAAUAUGACAAAGGAACGGCCAAAAAUAAAAAGAAAGACCUUUCUUUUGAAAAAACAAACAAAUAAAAGGAAUGCAACACGAGGACUUCCCAGGAGGUCACCCAUCCUAGUACUACUCUCGCCCAAGCACGCUUAACUUCGGAGUUCUGAUGGGAUCCGGUGCUUUAGUGCUGGUAUGAUCGCAUCCGACAUACCGUGCGUUCUCCUCCCCUUUAUGCCCGCGCCUCCGUGUACGGCCCGCCCAUAGCUCCUUCGACGAGCCCGCCUAGGAACGCGGAGAAAAUAUGACAAAGGAACGGCCAAAAAUAAAAAGAAAGACCUUUCUUUUGAAAAAACAAACAAAUAAAAGGAAUGCAACACGAGGACUUCCCAG